This 120-nucleotide ribosomal RNA is filed under the name uncultured bacterium. Its description in RNAcentral is "partial 16S ribosomal RNA". It matches the Rfam family "Bacterial small subunit ribosomal RNA", at positions 29 to 147 of the family's 1533-position model. The record is from RNAcentral.
AACGAACGCUGGCGGCAGGCCUAACACAUGCAAGUCGAAGGAGAAGUUCCUCUUCGGAGGGAUGGACACUGGCGCACGGGUGAGUAACGCGUGGGAAUCUACCCCGGGGUGGGGAAUAAC